This 119-nucleotide ribosomal RNA is filed under the name Labrus bergylta (ballan wrasse). Lineage: Eukaryota; Metazoa; Chordata; Actinopteri; Labriformes; Labridae. The record is from RNAcentral. RNAcentral also lists the same sequence under 1 other name.
GCUUACGGCCAUACCACCCUGAACACGCCCGAUCUCGUCCGAUCUCGGAAGCUAAGCAGGGUUGGGCCUGGUUAGUACUUGGAUGGGAGACCGCCUGGGAAUACCAGGUGCUGUAAGCU